Molecule: ribosomal RNA, 502 nt
Filed under: Fusobacterium sp. oral clone BP1-7
Lineage: Bacteria; Fusobacteriati; Fusobacteriota; Fusobacteriia; Fusobacteriales; Fusobacteriaceae
Description: bacterial SSU rRNA
Rfam family: Bacterial small subunit ribosomal RNA
Source: RNAcentral
AGAGUUUGAUCCUGGCUCAGGAUGAACGCUGACAGAAUGCUUAACACAUGCAAGUCUACUUGAAUUUGGGUUUUUUAACUUCGAUUUGGGUGGCGGACGGGUGAGUAACGCGUAAAGAACUUGCCUCACAGCUAGGGACAACAUUUGGAAACGAAUGCUAAUACCUAAUAUUAUGAUUAUAGGGCAUCCUAGAAUUAUGAAAGCUAUAUGCGCUGUGAGAGAGCUUUGCGUCCCAUUAGCUAGUUGGAGAGGUAACGGCUCACCAAGGCGAUGAUGGGUAGCCGGCCUGAGAGGGUGAACGGUCACAAGGGGACUGAGACACGGCCCUUACUCCUACGGGAGGCAGCAGUGGGGAAUAUUGGACAAUGGACCGAGAGUCUGAUCCAGCAAUUCUGUGUGCACGAUGACGUUUUUCGGAAUGUAAAGUGCUUUCAGUUGGGAAGAAAAAAAUGACGGUACCAACAGAAGAAGUGACGGCUAAAUACGUGCCAGCAGCCGCGGU